GGCGGGCCCCUGCGCAUUGUGGCAUGGUCAACCUGGUCAGGUCGGGAACGAAGCAGCCACAGCCAUUUACUGCAAGUGCCGUAGACAAGGCUCGCCUCU
This 99-nucleotide signal recognition particle RNA is filed under the name Oxalicibacterium faecigallinarum. Its description in RNAcentral is "signal recognition particle sRNA small type". It matches the Rfam family "Bacterial small signal recognition particle RNA". Rfam says of the family: The signal recognition particle (SRP) is a universally conserved ribonucleoprotein involved in the co-translational targeting of proteins to membranes. Archaeal SRP consists of a 7S RNA and homologues of the eukaryotic SRP19 and SRP54 proteins. In most bacteria, the SRP consists of a 4.5S RNA and the Ffh protein (a homologue of the eukaryotic SRP54 protein). Lineage: Bacteria; Pseudomonadati; Pseudomonadota; Betaproteobacteria; Burkholderiales; Oxalobacteraceae. The record is from RNAcentral.